GACGAACGCUGGCGGCGUGCUUAACACAUGCCAGUCGAACGGAAAGGCCCUGCUUUUGUGGGGUGCUCGAGUGGCGAACGGGUGAGUAACACGUGAGUAACCUGCCCUUGACUUUGGGAUAACUUCAGGAAACUGGGGCUAAUACCGGAUAGGAGCUCCUGCUGCAUGGUGGGGGUUGGAAAGUUUCGGCGGUUGGGGAUGGACUCGCGGCUUAUCAGCUUGUUGGUGGGGUAGUGGCUUACCAAGGCUUUGACGGGUAGCCGGCCUGAGAGGGUGACCGGCCAAAAUGGGAAUGGGAUACGGGCCAGACUCCUACGGGAGGCAGCAGUGGGGAAUAUUGCACAAUGGGCGGAAGCCUGAUGCAGCAACGCCGCGUGCGGGAUGACGGCCUUCGGGUUGUAAACCGCUUUCGCCUGUGACGAAGCGUGAGUGACGGUAAUGGGUAAAGAAGCACCGGCUAACUACGUG
RNAcentral lists this ribosomal RNA (468 nucleotides) under uncultured bacterium. RNAcentral's name for it is "partial 16S ribosomal RNA". It matches the Rfam family "Bacterial small subunit ribosomal RNA", at positions 28 to 507 of the family's 1533-position model. The record is from RNAcentral.